This 672-nucleotide ribosomal RNA is filed under the name uncultured bacterium. RNAcentral's name for it is "bacterial SSU rRNA". It matches the Rfam family "Bacterial small subunit ribosomal RNA", at positions 8 to 677 of the family's 1533-position model. The record is from RNAcentral.
AGAGUUUGAUCCUGGCUCAGGAUGAACGCUAGCGGCAGGCCUAAUACAUGCAAGUCGAACGGCAGCGGGUCCUUCAGGAUGCCGGCGAGUGGCGGACGGGUGCGUAACGCGUAUGCAACCUACCUAUCACAGGGGGAUAGCCCGGGGAAACUCGGAUUAAUACCCCAUAAAGCAGGGAACUCGCAUGGGUUUAUUUGCUAAAGAUUUAUCGGUGAUAGAUGGGCAUGCGUCUGAUUAGUUAGUUGGUGAGGUAAAGGCUCACCAAGACUACGAUCAGUAGGGGGUCUGAGAGGAUGAUCCCCCACACUGGCACUGAGAUACGGGCCAGACUCCUACGGGAGGCAGCAGUAGGGAAUAUUGGUCAAUGGGCGAGAGCCUGAACCAGCCAUGCCGCGUGCAGGAAGACGGCCUUCUGGGUUGUAAACUGCUUUUCUACGGGAAUAAAAAGGUUCUGCGGGGCAAAUUGCAUGUACCGUAGGAAUAAGCACCGGCUAACUCCGUGCCAGCAGCCGCGGUAAUACGGAGGGUGCAAGCGUUGUCCGGAUUUAUUGGGUUUAAAGGGUGCGUAGGCGGGCGAUUAAGUCAGAGGUGAAAGGCAGUGGCUCAACCAUUGAAUUGCCUUUGAUACUGGUUGUCUUGAGUACAGUUGAGGUGGGCGGAAUUUAUGGUGUA